RNAcentral lists this transfer RNA (73 nucleotides) under Mycoplasmopsis pulmonis UAB CTIP. RNAcentral describes it as "Mycoplasma pulmonis UAB CTIP tRNA". It matches the Rfam family "tRNA". Rfam says of the family: Transfer RNA (tRNA) molecules are approximately 80 nucleotides in length. Their secondary structure includes four short double-helical elements and three loops (D, anti-codon, and T loops). Lineage: Bacteria; Bacillati; Mycoplasmatota; Mycoplasmoidales; Metamycoplasmataceae. The record is from Rfam by way of RNAcentral.
GGCCUAUUGGUGAAGAGGUUAACACACAUGGUUUUCAUCCAUGCAUGCGCGGGUUCGAAUCCCGCAUAGGUCA